UAGGAUUACUCCAUGACCAAGCAUCAUCUAUCAGGUGCAACAGUUGUCAUUAGGAAAGUCACAUGUGUUGUUAAAGGAAGUCGUAAGCAAGUGAAGAUUCUAGAUUAAAACAGGGCUUCAAAAGUUCCAUCUCUUGUGGGAAUGGCUUAGAAAUAAUUUGUCAGGAGUUCUUUGAACCUCAAAGUCCACUGCUUUGGUCAUUUCCCAGUGCACUGUGCACAUAAUUCAAGGUCAUGGCAUGUUGCUGGCACCAUUCCUUAUCCAUCUUCUCCACUUGUAUGAAUAUCUCUCUGGCUUUACGGCCAUGCUCAAAUGCCACUUUUCCCUGUGGUUCUCACCGAUCCCCAGCUCCAACACCAAAUCUGUCAUGUACUCAUCUGUGUUCCCAGAAUGCUUCACAGGGACCUCCCCUAUUAAAUCUUUCUCCUGAUCUUCAUACUGCGAGUUCCUCAAGGACAGAGAUUGGAUCCUUUUCAUCUUUGUGUUGCUAGACAACGCGUAGGCCAAGUGGUCAGAACCCUGGAACAAGAAACCCAAGACUUCCAUUAAGUUGCCCAGAAACAGCAGAAAAACAGGCUGAUAAACUCAUUGACUGUGCUCUCUGGACUCAACAAAUGGACUUCGGGCUCAGCCAUCGGCAGCACCAACUCUGCUGUAAUCUGUAAUCAGCCAAUCCAGAGCAGAUGACAGGCGAGGAGACUGAAGCUGAGAGAUUUUCAGUAGUUUGACUAAGUUGAUGGAGAUAAAGAGAGAUCAAGUUGAUAGUCAAACGUAAGUAUGUCUUCCUCCAAAGCCUGGGUUCUUUCUAAUGUGCCAAAAUGUUUCCCUAAAGAAUAAAAAGAGAGGCAUCGACUGGGAAAUUAAGAAGCAGUAAUGUUCUUCCAGAACAGAAUUUUGGAACAAGAUCUAGCUUCUACGUGGCUGUCCAAGACAAAUUUACCACGGGGUCCUUGCAUUUAGCUAAGCUUGUAAUCACCUUGGAGUGUCUGCGUCAGCUGCCCUCUCUGGCUAACAGGCUUUUCCUGCUGACCGUCUCAGGAAGCAGGGCGACCCCUGGUACAUUCCUAUCUCAACUUAAAUGCCCCUGCUCAGCGAGGCCUUUCCUCACCACUCUCCCCCACUGCCCU
Non-coding RNA from Delphinapterus leucas (beluga whale), 1127 nucleotides. The record is from RefSeq and is a predicted model, not a curated record. Lineage: Eukaryota; Metazoa; Chordata; Mammalia; Artiodactyla; Monodontidae.